This 447-nucleotide ribosomal RNA is filed under the name uncultured bacterium. RNAcentral describes it as "bacterial SSU rRNA". It matches the Rfam family "Bacterial small subunit ribosomal RNA", at positions 355 to 825 of the family's 1533-position model. The record is from RNAcentral.
UCGGGAAUUUUGGGCAAUGGGCGAAAGCCUGACCCAGCAACGCCGCGUGAAGGAUGAAGUAUUUCGGGAUGUAAACUUCGUAAGAAUAGGAAGAAUAAAUGACGGUACUAUUUGUAAGGUCCGGCUAACUACGUGCCAGCAGCCGCGGUAAUACGUAGGGACCAAGCGUUGUUCGGAUUUACUGGGCGUAAAGGGCGCGUAGGCGGCGUGGUAAGUCACUUGUGAAAUCUCCGAGCUUAACUCGGAACGGUCAAGUGAUACUGCUGUGCUAGAGUACAGAAGGGGCAAUCGGAAUUCUUGGUGUAGCGGUGAAAUGCGUAGAUAUCAAGAGGAACACCUGAGGUGAAGACGGGUUGCUGGGCUGAUACUGACGCUGAGGCGCGAAAGCUAGGGUAGCAAACGGGAUUAGAUACCCCUGUAGUCCCUGAGCGGGCUGGCAAGGCGCAU